RNAcentral lists this ribosomal RNA (180 nucleotides) under uncultured eukaryote. Its description in RNAcentral is "partial 18S ribosomal RNA". It matches the Rfam family "Eukaryotic small subunit ribosomal RNA", at positions 1299 to 1458 of the family's 1831-position model. The record is from RNAcentral.
UGGUGGAGUGAUUUGUCUGGUUGAUUCCGUUAACGAACGAGAUCUUGGCCCUUCAAUGACAGUGUGAUCGACUUGUAGUUCAAUGCGUUGGCUUCUGCUUAACACUGUUGAAUGAGAUCAUAGCUUGUACUCAAGGGGACGAUGCAUGUUUACAAUGCAUGGAAGUGCGAGCCAAUAGCA